RNAcentral lists this ribosomal RNA (1381 nucleotides) under uncultured bacterium. Its description in RNAcentral is "bacterial SSU rRNA". It matches the Rfam family "Bacterial small subunit ribosomal RNA". The record is from RNAcentral.
GAUGAACACUGGCGGCGUGCCUAAUCUAUGCAAGUCGAAUGUAUUCCGAUCGCAAGAUCGGAAUGUCAUGGCGGACGAGUGAGUAAUGCGCAGGAAUGUGCCUUAAAGAGGAAACUAACCCUUCGAAAGAGGGGAUAAUGUUCCAUAAUGUUAACAAACCAAAGAUAGAGGUUUAAAUCUCUAUUGCUUUAAGAUCAGCCUGCGUCCCAUCAGCUAGUUGGUAGGGUAAAAGCCUACCAAGGCUAUAACGGGUAGGGGGCGUGAGAGCGCGAACCCCCACGAUGGCACUGAGAUACGGGCCAUACACCUACGGGUGGCAGCAAGUAGGAAUCGUGCGCAAUGGGCGAAAGCCUGACGCCGCGACGCCGCGUGAGGGAUGAAGGCCUUCGGGUUGUAAACCUAUAUCAAAAAGUCACGGCAAACUUCGUGCCAGCAGCAGCGGUAAUACGAAGGUGGCUAGUGUUAUCCGGUUUUAUUGGGCGUAAAGAGUUCUGUAGGCGGAUUUGUAAGUUAUAUGUUAAAUGCUAUGGCCCAACCAUGGUUUCGCGUGUAAUACUACAAAUCUAGAGUAAGCAAGAGGUUAGCGGAACGUACGGUGUAGUAGUGAAAUGCGUUGAUAUCGUACGGAACACCUAAUGCGAAGGCAGCUAACUGGGGCUUUACUGACGCUGAGAGACGAAAGUGUGGGGAGCAAAACGGAUUAGAUACCCGUGUAGUCCACACCGUAAACUUUGCCGAUUAGGAAGUAGUUCCGAUUUAGUCGGGAUUGCUUUCGAAGCUAACGCAUUAAAUCGGCCGCCUGCGGAGUACGGCCGCAAGGCUAAAACUCAAAGGAAUUGGCGGGGACCCGCACAAGCGGUGGAGCGCCUGGUUUAAUUCGAUGAUUAGCGAAGGACCUUACCUGGGUUUGACAUGCUACUGCACGCCUAUCGAAAGAUAGGAAGCCUUCGAGGGUGUAGCACAGGUGUUGCACGGCUGUCGUCAGCUCGAGUCGUGAGAUGUACGGUUAAGUCCGGUAUCGAGCGCAACCCCUAUCGUUAAUUGUAUCACUUUAGCGAAACUGCCCCGGCAACGGGGAGGAAGGAGGGGACGACGUCAAGUCAGCGUGGCCCUUAUAUCCAGGGCGACACAGGCGCUACAAUGGCUAUUACAAAGGGUUGCAAGCAUGCGAAUGCAAGCUAAUCCCAAAAAAAUAGCCCCAGUACAGAUUGGAGUCUGCAACUCGACUCCAUGAAGAAGGAAUCGCUAGUAAUCGCUGGUCAGCCAUACAGCGGUGAAUACGUUCUCGGGUCUUGCACACACCGCCCGUCACUUGGGGGAAGUUGGAAAUAUCUGAAAUCUCAUCUAAGAUGGGCCUAAGGUAGAGCCAAUAACCAACAAU